This 468-nucleotide ribosomal RNA is filed under the name uncultured bacterium. Its description in RNAcentral is "partial 16S ribosomal RNA". It matches the Rfam family "Bacterial small subunit ribosomal RNA", at positions 28 to 507 of the family's 1533-position model. The record is from RNAcentral.
GACGAACGCUGGCGGCGUGCUUAACACAUGCAAGUCGAACGGAAAGGCCCUGCUUUUGUGGGGUGCUCGAGUGGCGAACGGGUGAGUAACACGUGAGUAACCUGCCCUUGACUUUGGGAUAACUUCAGGAAACUGGGGCUAAUACCGGAUAGGAGCUCCUGCUGCAUGGUGGGGGUUGGAAAGUUUCGGCGGUUGGGGAUGGACUCGCGGCUUAUCAGCUUGUUGGUGGGGUAGUGGCUUACCAAGGCUUUGACGGGUAGCCGGCCUGAGAGGGUGGCCGGCCACCUUGGGACUGAGAUACGGCCCAGACUCCUACGGGAGGCAGCAGUGGGGAAUAUUGCACAAUGGGCGGAAGCCUGAUGCAGCAACGCCGCGUGCGGGAUGACGGCCUUCGGGUUGUAAACCGCUUUCGCCUGUGACGAAGCGUGAGUGACGGUAAUGGGUAAAGAAGCACCGGCUAACUACGUG